CCUACGGGAGGCAGCAGUGGGGAAUUUUGGACAAUGGGCGAAAGCCUGAUCCAGCAAUGCCGCGUGAGUGAAGAAGGCCUUCGGGUUGUAAAGCUCUUUUGUCAGGGAAGAAACGGUGAGAGCUAAUAUCUCUUGCUAAUGACGGUACCCGAAGAAUAAGCACCGGCUAACUACGUGCCAGCAGCCGCGGUAAUACGUAGGGUGCAAGCGUUAAUCGGAAUUACUGGGCGUAAAGCGUGCGCAGGCGGUUUUGUAAGUCUGUCGUGAAAUCCCCGGGCUCAACCUGGGAAUUGCGAUGGAGACUGCAAGGCUAGAAUCUGGCAGAGGGGGGUAGAAUUCCACGUGUAGCAGUGAGAUGCGUAGAGAUGUGGAGGAACACCGAUGGCGAAGGCAGCCCCCUGGGUCAAGAUUGACGCUCAUGCACGAAAGCGUGGGGAGCAAACAGGAUUAGAUACCCUGGUAGUCCACGCCCUAAACGAUGUCUACUAGUUGUCGGGUUUUAAUUAACUUGGUAACGCAGCUAACGCGUGAAGUAGACCGCCUGGGGAUACGGUCGCAAGNUUAAAACUCAAAUGAAUUGACGGCUGAGAGAGCGAGACGACGACGAGGGAGGAGG
Molecule: ribosomal RNA, 616 nt
Filed under: uncultured bacterium
Lineage: Bacteria
Description: bacterial SSU rRNA
Rfam family: Bacterial small subunit ribosomal RNA
Source: RNAcentral